RNAcentral lists this ribosomal RNA (273 nucleotides) under Clostridium botulinum. Its description in RNAcentral is "partial 16S ribosomal RNA". It matches the Rfam family "Bacterial small subunit ribosomal RNA", at positions 54 to 326 of the family's 1533-position model. Lineage: Bacteria; Bacillati; Bacillota; Clostridia; Eubacteriales; Clostridiaceae. The record is from RNAcentral.
CAUGCAAGUCGAGCGAUGAAACUUCCUUCGGGAAGUGGAUUAGCGGCGGACGGGUGAGUAACACGUGGGUAACCUGCCUCAAAGUGGGGGAUAGCCUUCCGAAAGGAAGAUUAAUACCGCAUAAUAUAAGAGAAUCGCAUGAUUUACUUAUCAAAGAUUUAUUGCUUUGAGAUGGACCCGCGGCGCAUUAGCUAGUUGGUAAGGUAACGGCUUACCAAGGCAACGAUGCGUAGCCGACCUGAGAGGGUGAUCGGCCACAUUGGAACUGAGACA